RNAcentral lists this transfer RNA (77 nucleotides) under Steroidobacter gossypii. RNAcentral describes it as "tRNA-His". It matches the Rfam family "tRNA". From Rfam's summary of the family: Transfer RNA (tRNA) molecules are approximately 80 nucleotides in length. Their secondary structure includes four short double-helical elements and three loops (D, anti-codon, and T loops). The record is from RNAcentral. Lineage: Bacteria; Pseudomonadati; Pseudomonadota; Gammaproteobacteria; Steroidobacterales; Steroidobacteraceae.
GUGGCGUUAGCUCAGCAGGCCAGAGUCCCGAGCUGUGAACUCGGAGGUCGCGGGUUCGAGUCCCGCACGCCACCCCA